GAAAUGUGAUAAGUAAUGUGAAUUGCAGAAUUCCGUGAAUCAUCGAAUCUUUGAACGCACCUUGCGCUCCUUGGUAUUCCUUGGAGCAUGCCUGUUUGAGUAUCAUGAAAUCUUCAAAGUAAAUCUUUUGUUAACUCAAUUGGUUUCUACUUUGGUAUUGGAGGUCUUUGCAGCUUCACACCUGCUCCUCUUUGUUCAUUAGCUGGAUCUCAGUGUUAUGCUUGGUUCCACUCGGCGUGAUAAGUUAUCUAUCGCUGAGGACACUGUAAAAGGUGGCCAAGGUAAAUGCAGAUGAACCGCUUCUAAUAGUCCAUUGACUUGGACAAUACUUUUAUGAUCUGAUCUCAAAUCAGGUAGGACUACCCGCUGAACUUAAGC
Molecule: unclassified non-coding RNA, 378 nt
Filed under: plant metagenome
Description: partial contains 5.8S ribosomal RNA, internal transcribed spacer 2, and large subunit ribosomal RNA
Rfam family: 5.8S ribosomal RNA (bases 1-105)
Source: RNAcentral